Molecule: unclassified non-coding RNA, 244 nt
Organism: Fukomys damarensis (Damara mole-rat)
Lineage: Eukaryota; Metazoa; Chordata; Mammalia; Rodentia; Bathyergidae
Source: Ensembl
UCAGCUGCCGGGCUAUAAUCUAUGAAACCGAGCCUGGAUCCAGCCAAUCAGUUUGCUCCUUAUAACAAGUCUAACUGGCUCUGGAAAGCUGAAAGGGCUGCACUGGAGCGGCAUAGACGAUAUAUUCCACACAAUAAUCUGCUUAUCUGGAAUCACUCUGGCUGGAAAGGCCAGAGAAAAUCGCAGCUUCAUUAUCUGAGGGAAAGACAGGUAAUCUGGCAAAACAUAUCUAAACCUGGAGCAA